Phacochoerus africanus (Common warthog) is the source of this 1522-nucleotide long non-coding RNA. RefSeq lists it as uncharacterized. The record is from RefSeq and is a predicted model, not a curated record. Lineage: Eukaryota; Metazoa; Chordata; Mammalia; Artiodactyla; Suidae. The transcript is spliced from 2 exons.
CACUGCAGGGACAUCCUUAAACCACUGUGCCACAAGAGAACUCUGAAACUGUGUCUUAAUGAUGGUCCCUUGAAGAAAGGCUGGAGUGGAAGUCACAGAAAGCUUAAAAAGAAAGGGAAGUAAGACCUUCAGUGUUUUGAUGAGCCAAUCAGGAGCUCUGUAUGAACAAUUCUGGUUUUAGUCAAGAAUCUCAGUUGUAAGUGACAAAAAACCCACUCACUCGCCGAAGCACAACACAAAACAAAAACUUCAUGGACUAACCUAACUGAAAAGACCAAGACUGGUUCAGGAAAAAUGGGCCUCGGCAGGGUUCAACCUGCAUCAGCAACAGUUUCUUGGCUUUGUCUUUGGGUUGACCUCAUUCUCAGUCCUACACGGUGCCUCCAGCUCACCCCUUCCUUUUCAUCAAUGGCCCGAACAGAAAGAGAGUAGGCAGAUGUCCCUCUCUCUCAACAGUUCCAGCCAAAACCCCCAACAUUUCAGAUCCUCAGCUCUGACUGGGUCACACGCCCAUCUUUACCCGAAUUGUGGUAGCCAGGGGGACGCAAUGCUCUGAUUGGCUGGAACCGAGUCACAAGCCUAUCCUGGGUUCUCUUGGUGGAGCCAGCCCAUCAAAGCACGUGAACUGAGACUAGAGAAGGUAGGUUUCCCCAAAAGAAAGCUGAGGCACAAUCUGGUAUUUUCUUCUCUCUCUAGAAGAAUGAUUGGCUGUCAAGCAGACAAAAAAAAAUGGCAGUCGUCCACAGCAGCACUGUGGUUGACUAAGCAGAGAUCAUGUGUCCUCUAUAAUGUCUUUAAGGAGCUCACGUUAUGUUCAGAGAAAAGGGACAUUACAUGCAGGAAAACAAAGAAAAUAUAUAAUAAUGAAGUGAAUUGUAGGCUCUUAUUUGCAGGCAACAGAAUUCAGUACUUUAAGCAGAUAAUUUGAGGUAGUUUAUAUUUCAGUGGGGCAGAGAAUUGGGUUUGGAGGCUACAAAUAAGAACAAAGCAGUCAGGAAAAAAGAAGAGAUGUGACAAUAAGAACUGGUCAUCAGAAAACUACCACCCACUGUCUCGGAAGAACAAGAAGGUUUUGCCACUUCUUUGGCCAGAACACCUGACCACCUGUACCUAGCAGCCGCCCAACAUUGCUCACUUCUGCCUGUCAGUCCGGAGCAGGCUUCCGGGCGACACGCAGCGUCAGUGCUGCCAACAGCGACCCAUGUCCAGGGACGUCAGAUCCCCCACGUGGGUGGAGCUAUGCGUCUAUGGCUCCGUCUGCCUGAAGUGCCUUUGCGACCUUUCUGCCCCGCCAAGACCUACGCAGCACGGAGCUUGGGAGUCCCCGUUGGGGGGAAAGCCCUUUGCAAAGACCCCAGAGGAAAGGAGUCGCUCUUGUCCCCGCCCCCACCCCUCCUACAGCCCGCCGCCCACCAGCCGGUCUUAACUCACGGCUUUUGCCACCUGGCCCAGGACCGACCACAUAGAAGUUGACGGAACAAGACCAAAUCAACUUAAAACAAACAAACAAACAAACAAACAA